AUUGAACGCUGGCGGCAUGCUUUACACAUGCAAGUCGAACGGUAACAGGCCGCAAGGUGCUGACGAGUGGCGAACGGGUGAGUAAUGCAUCGGAACGUGCCCAGUCGUGGGGGAUAACUACUCGAAAGAGUAGCUAAUACCGCAUACGAUCUAUGGAUGAAAGCGGGGGACCGUAAGGCCUCGCGCGAUUGGAGCGGCCGAUGUCAGAUUAGGUAGUUGGUGGGGUAAAGGCUCACCAAGCCAACGAUCUGUAGCUGGUCUGAGAGGACGACUAGCCACACUGGGACUGAGACACGGCCCAGACUCCUACGGGAGGCAGCAGUGGGGAAUUUUGGACAAUGGGCGCAAGCCUGAUCCAGCAAUGCCACGUGCAGGAAGAAGGCCUUCGGGUUGUAAACUGCUUUUGUACGGAACGAAACGGCUCUGGUUAAUACCCGGGGCUAAUGACGGUACCGUAAGAAUAAGCACCGGCUAACUACGUG
Molecule: ribosomal RNA, 482 nt
Filed under: uncultured bacterium
Lineage: Bacteria
Description: partial 16S ribosomal RNA
Rfam family: Bacterial small subunit ribosomal RNA
Source: RNAcentral